Molecule: ribosomal RNA, 255 nt
Filed under: uncultured bacterium
Lineage: Bacteria
Description: partial 16S ribosomal RNA
Rfam family: Bacterial small subunit ribosomal RNA
Source: RNAcentral
GCAAGUCGAACGAGAACGGACUUUAGUUUACUAAAGUUGUCAGCUAAGUGGCGCACGGGUGAGUAAUAUAUAGGUAACGUGCCUUCAAGAGGGGGAUAACAGAUGGAAACGUCUGCUAAUACCCUAUAUGCCUUUAUUCCAUAAGGAAGCAAGGGAAAUAUUUAUAGCUCUAGGAUCGGCCUGUACGGUAUCAGCUAGUUGGUGAGGUAAUGGCUCACCAAGGCAAUGACGCCUAACUGGUUUGAGAGGAUGAUC